RNAcentral lists this long non-coding RNA (4406 nucleotides) under Homo sapiens (human). RNAcentral describes it as "HSALNT0047863". Lineage: Eukaryota; Metazoa; Chordata; Mammalia; Primates; Hominidae. The record is from RNAcentral.
UGCAUCCUGUUUCAUCUGAUGGAUGAUUUCACCUCACUCUUCCAUUUCUGAAGCAUGUGGGAUUUUCUAAAAUUUAGGGCAAACAAUCAGUCAAAGAAAGAGAAAGCAUUCCACCAAAGGAGAAAACACCAAGGAUCCGCUUUCAGGGUAAUGUUGCUCAAAGGGAUAAAAAGUGAAACUUAGACUGAAAUCGCUCAUCUUUAUUCAGAUUGAAAAAGACAGGUUUUAAAUCUUCCAAAUUCAAUGUGUUAUAGAAAGACUAUGAGUUUGCAAGUCAGCAAAUGUGUAUCCUCUCAGUUAUUUAGCUGUCUGACCUUCAGCAAGAGAUUCAAACUUUCUGGGUCUCAGUUUCUUUUUCUUUUCUUUUCUUUUCUUUUUUUUUUUUGUAAAAGAGGAAAAUUAAUGCUUGCUUCAUAUGGUUCAUACAAGGAAUGAAUAAGAGUUAAUAUUUACCCCCAUACCAGUUAUCUAUCGCUAAGUAACAAACACCUCAACAUCAUUUCUCACAAAUCUCUGGGAUGGCUGGGUGGUCUCACACGGGCUUGCUCUUGUGGUUGUAUUCAUCUGGUGGGUCAGCUGGAGCUGGAGAGUCUGUGUUGACAUCGUGCAUGUGUCUAAGGCCCUGAUGGGAAUGGUUGGAAGUCUGGGACCUCUCUCUUCACAUGGUUCCUCAUCAUUCAGUAGAUUAGCCCACCUUUAUAUGGCAUCUAAGUUCCAAGAAAGUGAAGGCAGAGGCUUCAAGGCAUCUUGAGGCUUAGGCUCCAGAGCUUCCAAAACAUCAUGUCAGCCACAUUCUACUGGUUAAAGCAAGUUAGAAUGUUAACUAGGAUUCAAGGUGGAGAAAUAGUAUCUACCACUCAAUGGAAAGUGCUCUGUUCUCAGUGUUUGUGUCCCAUCAAAUAGAUAUGUUGAAAUAUUAAUUCCCAAGGUAAUUGCAUUAGAUUGUAGAGACUUGAGAGGGUUAUUAAUUCUUGAAGAUCAUGCCCUCUUUGAGAUUAGUGCCUUAUAAAAGAGACUCCAGAGAGUGAAUUCACGCCUUCCAAAAUGUGAGGACAUAGCCCAAAGGUACCAUCUAUGAACCAGGAAGUAGGAUUUUGUCAAACACUGAAUCUGCUGGCACCUUGGUCUUGAACUUUCCAGUCUCCAGAACUGUGAGAAAAACAUUUCCAUUGUUUAUAAUGAUAUUAUGAUAUUUUGUUAUAGCAGCCCAACCAAAACAGGAAGAAUGGCAGUAUUAUAUUGCAAAUAAGUGUGAAUAUAGAGAAUGUUAUUCAUUAAGGCCAUUAUUAUAAUACACUCCCUCUUGUAUUAUAGUCUGUGGGCCCUGUUUUCCAGUGCUGUAAAGUUUAGGAGAGUCUUUCAUAAUUCUAUUGAUUGGAAACUAUGGUAAAUUAUUACAGUAAUGGCACCCAGUGAAUCACAUGCCUUUUCAUAUUCGUGCCUUUAUGUAUUCCCCUUCCAAGUCGACAUUGGACUUGGCCAUGUGAAUUGCUUUGGCCAACGGAACAUCAGCAAAUGUAACACAAAUAGAAGCUUCAGAAGGGCUUGUACACUGGGGCUUGUUCUCUUGAACACCUUGAAACUGCAAUGCCAUAAAAAUCCUGGGAUGAAAAGCCACUGCAGAAAGAAGAGUGCAGCUGGGCCCAGGUUGCAGUUCUACCAGCCAGAUACAGCUACAUGAGUGAGCCCAGGUAAGACCAGCAGAAGGGACACCCAGUCAACCCACAGAAUCAUACAUAAAUGGCACUUGUUUUAAGCCACUGAGUUUUGGGGUACAUAGCAAUAUAUAACUGAAAUAUGGACUAAAAAUAUUCUAGCCAAAGGGUAGCCUAUAACAAUUGCCAAAUACUAGCUUCACUACAAAAUCACUAAGUCAUUUCAUGGUUUUAGACAUAACAUAGAGAUAAUAUAAUUAAGUGGUCUUUAAAAUAACUUUUAACUAUAGAAUUCUUUUUUAAAACAACAUCUUAUCAGAGAUUUAAAACAAGGAGACAUCUUAUUAGAAUAAAUUCAUUUUAUUGGUUCAAAUUUAUGGCAUUUUGCUUAGAAAGCCAAUUAAUGAAAACACAAUUCCUUUUUCUUUCAUACAAAAAUAUAAAUCCAGGCUCAUAAAUGGCAGUGAAAGACUUCUUGCAGUUUUAGCUUACAAUUAAUUUAUAUGUUUUCCUUUAGCAAUAUGGCAUAAAGAAAAUCCUCAUUCAAGACAGACAAGUACUUAUAAGUGUUAGGGUCAUUUCACCACUUGCCUUGGAGUCUCAGGAUAUUGAAUGGUCAGGAGAAGCAUUAUAACUUACUCCUACUUGGAAAAAUAUGAACCCAUCAGUCCAAGCAAAUACAUUGAUUGAAGUCCUCUGAUGAGUUUAUAUUUUAAAUAUGUGACAUUUAACUAUUUAAAGAUUACCAUCUUUAAAAAGUUUAAAAUCUAUGUAGAAACUUAAAUUCAAAUUGAUUGUUUGUAGAGCCCUUGAAGAACCCUGAUGGUACUCUGCCAUUCUUUGCAAUUUAUUUUGCGAAUUACUAUAACACUUGAAAACUGGUUUUGCUUUGUCGUUGAUUUUGUUCAAAACUGAGGGAAGCGGAUUGGGCAUUUUAAAAUAAUGAUUUCUCCCAUGUUUCAAGUGUCAGUGCAUUCUCAAAACCAUUUCUUGGGCUCUUUAAAGAACAUUCCUGCUGGUUUCAUUUUUUAUUCGUCAAGAAUUUUUGUAAAAAAUCAAAAACAAAAACAAGAAAAAAGCAAAAACCCAGUGAAAGGAACUGCCUCGCGAAAGAAAUGUCACAAUUAAAACUGAAUGGUAUUUUUCAGCUCAUUUGUGUGAACUGGCAAUCUACUUGAGACUUCAGCAGGGGGUCUGCACUUCAUUAGUUCAGCCGGCAAGAACAUGCUCUCUUCAAGAACACGCUCUCUUGAAAGCUUUGGUUUGCCUUCACCACUGUUUUUGCCAGGGUUGACAGUUUAACAACUGGAAGCUGUGUGCUCUUCAUCUAAUUUUAAUGAAGCUUUUCCUUUCAGAAGGAAAACCUGACAACAGAGAAGUCUUCAAGGAAGCCAAGUAAUUCAACCACCUGACUAAAUUUUUGGAGGAAAACAGAGGGUUCUCUUAAGGGUGUGGAAUAAUCAAAGCAGCCAUUGCUAUGCUCCUGCAAAACAAGUCCCAGUAGCACAAUGGAAAUAACUGGAUUGUUUAGCAUUUCAACACCCAUCAACAGUAAGACAUAUCACAAAUAUGUGGGAGAAAUUUGCAUCUAUAAUCUAGGAAAACUGGGAUUUUUAAAUUACUUCUGCCUAGGUAGAGGGGGAGUAGAAGAAAAGGCAGAAUGGAAAAUGUCAGGGUUUCCUUCCUUCCUUCCUUCCUUCCUUCCUUCCUUCCUUCCUUCCUUCCUUCAUUUAUUCUACCAAUAUCUACUGAGCUACUAUUGAUGUGUAAUCACCAGGCUCAGCACUCAGGAUACAGCAAUAUAUGAGACAGACACAGUUUACAGCCCCCUGGGGAGUUAUACCUACAAAAGGACAAAGAGUGGAAAAAGCAAGAGGAAGACAUUCAGAGGAAAAUUUUUGGAAUUCUGAGGCCCACUCUGGAUGAUAUAUGGACUCUGACUGUUUGGGACACAUUUCUAAUUUCUGUUUAAUCCUUACUCACAUCUACUACAUAUCAAAGGUCAAAUAGAAGUUAUAAGGUGAGGUGAGGAUGUCACUGAGGUACUGCUCUUUGGCCUUCUGGUAAGGUGCCCCCACAGGUGAAUUCAUGGAUAUUCAGAUAGGAUUUGCAGGCUAAGAACUCUGAAUUGUUAGCAUCUUGAGAAGGGAAACUGUCCAUAAGGACAGACACUUCUUACCAAGAUCACAGGGGUAAUGUGUAAACCAGAAUGGCAAUUAAUUAAUUAAUUUACACUGAAAUACAACUGUUAGACAAAUCAGCUCAAAUAAUAUAUUAUCUUGCAGCAGACAGAACUAUAUGAGAAAUCAGACUAUGAUGAGAAAAAUUCUAGGUAGCAUUCUCCACUAAGUCAACAUGAGACCAACUUUCUUACUACAAGGCCAGUCUUACCUGUGAGAUUGUAUAGUAGCUCUUUUUUUGGUUUGUUUUUUUGUUCACCACCCAUGACAUCUUUAUUUUUUAAUUUUUUAUUAUACUUUAAGUUCUGGGAUACAUGUACAGAUGUGCAGGUUUGUUACAUAGGUAUACAUGUGCCAUGGUGGUUUGCUGCACCCAUCAACUCAUCAUCUACAUUAGGUAUUUCUCCUAAUGCUAUCCCUCCCCUAGCCCCCUCCCACUCCCUGACAGGCCCAGGUGUCUGAUGUUCCCCUCCCUGUGUCCAACUGUUCUCAUUGUUCAACUCCCACUUAUGAGUGAGAACAUGCAGUGUUUGGUUUUCUGUCCUUGUGUUAGUUUGCUGAGAAUGAUAGU